UGUGUCCUACGGGAGGCAGCAGUAGGGAAUCUUCCACAAUGGGCGCAAGCCUGAUGGAGCAACACCGCGUGAGUGAAGAAGGGUUUCGGCUCGUAAAACUCUGUUGUUGGAGAAGAACGUGCGUGAGAGUAACUGUUCACGCAGUGACGGUAUCCAACCAGAAAGUCACGGCUAACUACGUGCCAGCAGCCGCGGUAAUACGUAGGUGGCAAGCGUUAUUCGGAUUUAUUUGGCGUAAAGCGAG
This 244-nucleotide ribosomal RNA is filed under the name uncultured bacterium. Its description in RNAcentral is "partial 16S ribosomal RNA". It matches the Rfam family "Bacterial small subunit ribosomal RNA", at positions 333 to 569 of the family's 1533-position model. The record is from RNAcentral.